GCCGCCGACGGGAAUGGGGCUUCCCGAUAACCGCCGGCCGGUGCACGGUCCGGCUGAUGGCGCCUGCUGCCAA
Molecule: non-coding RNA, 73 nt
Filed under: Luteimonas sp. FCS-9
Lineage: Bacteria; Pseudomonadati; Pseudomonadota; Gammaproteobacteria; Lysobacterales; Lysobacteraceae
Also listed under: 1 other name
Description: Fluoride riboswitch aptamer (crcB RNA motif)
Rfam family: Fluoride riboswitch aptamer (crcB RNA motif)
Source: Rfam by way of RNAcentral